GACGAACGCUGGCGGCGUGCUUAACACAUGCAAGUCGAACGGAAAGGCCCUGCUUUUGUGGGGUUCUCGAGUGGCGAAGGGGUGAGUAACACGUGUGUAACCUGCCCUUGACUUUGGUAUAUCUUCAGGAAACUGGGGCUAAUACCGGAUAGGAGCUCCUGCUGCAUGGUGGGGGUUGGAAAGUUUCGGCGGUUGGGGAUGGACUCGCGGCUUAUCAGCUUGUUGGUGGGGUAGUGGCUUACCAAGGCUUUGACGGGUAGCCGGCCUGGGAGGGUGACCGGCCACAUUGGGACUGAGAUACGGCCCAGACUCCUACGGGAGGCAGCAGUGGGGAAUAUUGCACAAUGGGCGGAAGCCUGAUGCAGCAACGCCGCGUGCGGGAUGACGGCCUUCGGGUUGUAAACCGCUUUCGCCUGUGACGAAGCGUGAGUGACGGUAAUGGGUAAAGAAGCACCGGCUAACUACGUG
Molecule: ribosomal RNA, 468 nt
Filed under: uncultured bacterium
Lineage: Bacteria
Description: partial 16S ribosomal RNA
Rfam family: Bacterial small subunit ribosomal RNA
Source: RNAcentral